CCUCCAGCUGUUUUUGGACUACAACUCCCAUCAUCCCUAGCUGGUAAGACCAGCGAUCAGGGAUGAUGGGAAUUGUAGUCUGAAAACAGCUGGAG
Molecule: microRNA precursor, 95 nt
Filed under: Podarcis lilfordi (Lilford's wall lizard)
Lineage: Eukaryota; Metazoa; Chordata; Lepidosauria; Squamata; Lacertidae
Source: RNAcentral